UACGAAGGGUGUAAACGUUGCCCGGAUUUAUUGGGCGUAAAGUGUUUCGUAGGCGUCCCGUCGCAUCUUGUUUCAAAGCUUCUGGCUUAACCAGAAAGAGGGACAAGAGAUGGACGGGAUUGAAGAUUGUAGGGGUCACUGGAACUGUCGGUGUAGGGGUGAAAUCCGUUGAUAUCGACAGGAACUCCAAAGGCGAAGGCGGGUGACUAGGCAAAUCUUGACGCUGAUGAACGAAAGCUAGGGGAGCGAAACGG
Molecule: unclassified non-coding RNA, 254 nt
Filed under: uncultured Patescibacteria group bacterium
Lineage: Bacteria
Description: contains 16S-23S intergenic spacer region
Rfam family: Bacterial small subunit ribosomal RNA
Source: RNAcentral